UUAUUUCUGAGAGAGAGAGAGAGAGAGAGAGCAAGAGAGCGAGCGCAUGAACAAGGGAGGGGCAGAGAGAGAGAGACACACACAGAAUCUGAAGCAGUCUCCAGGCUCUGAGCUAUCAGCACAGAGCCUGACAUGGGGCUCGAACCCACGAAUCAUGAGAUCAUGACCUGAGCCGAAGUUGGAUGCUUAACCCACUGAGUCACCCAGGUGCCCCCAAAUAUCCAUCUCCUUAUAAAAACACCAGUCAUUGGAUUUGGGGCCCACCUCUGCCUCAUCUGGUAUAACAUCAUCUUCACUAAUUAUAUCUGCAAGGACCCUAUUUCCAAGUAAGGUCACAUUCUGGGGUUUUGAUGGGCAUGAAUUUUGGGCGAAGGCUUUCAACCUACUAUGGUACCAUUAAGGUUAGUGGACAAAUUCAUACCAGUUUAGCAAGUGCUCCUCUUGGUGAGGAAAAUCUUAUCAGCAUGUUUAAUUUUUCCAGACAAGUUUCAAAAGCUGGUCCUUUAAAACAUUCUGCAUGUUAUAGGCUGAACACCAUCCUGUAGAGACAAUUUAUAAAAAAUCAAAAAUAGUGUUUGAUUCAGACUUCCUUUGGCAUGAGAGCUGACAGAGAAUUGGGGUGGGAGGAGGGGGCUGAAUUCAACUCAGCCUACCACUUGUCCACUGACCAGAGGACAGACAUCCAUGAAAUCAGCUGAGGCAGCAUCAUCUGUAAUGCAGAGUCACUUUUCUGGUUGAUGCCAAGCAGAAUUAGAUUUGUGUGUUCUGAACAUUGAGCACCACAGUGUCCCAGGGCAGCGGUGAGAGAAUGGUGCCAGUCAGUACCUUAUUUAUGGACCUAAAAUUCAUGCAUAUGUGACUCUAGAUAGGUGUCCCCUCCCCUAGUUUUCUUCUUUUUUUUAAAUGUUUAUUUAUUAAGAGAGAGAGAGAGAGAGAGAGAGAGAGAGCAGGUGGUGGGGGGAGGGGCAGAGAGAAGGAGACACAGAAUCAAAAGCAGGCUCCAAGCUCUGAGCUGUCAGCACAGAGCCAGAUGAGGGGCUCAAACCCAUGAACCAUGAGAUCAUGACCUGAGCAGAAGUCAGAGGCUUAACCCACUGAGCCACCCAGGCGCCCCUCCUCCCCUAGUUUUCUCAUGUGGGAGAGACUCAUGGUACAUGGCGCUUAUCUGUGCAUUCCCCCAGUGGGUGCUGCUUGAAGUUCCUAACAGGUCCAUGUCCAAGGUAUGCUCCACUUCCUUCACCUGCUUGUUGUGAAUGAGAACCAGGUGAUGCUUACCAAGUCAGUAUCUGAAUAUGGUCAGCUACAUAAAAUACCCAUGAAACUUUCAUGGAAUCUACCUGAGAACAUUCAACUUCUAUCUGUUGCUGAUUGCCCCUGUGGGCAGGUCUUCUAUAGAGGUGAUUCUCAAAAUUUUGCAUGUAUACAAAUCACCCAGAAAUCUUAUUAAAAUGCAGAUUUAGGGGCACCUGGAUGGCUCAGUCGGUUAAACAUCUGACUCUUGAUCUUGGCUCAGGUCAUAAUCUCACAGUUCAUGGGUUCAAGCCCUACAUUGGGCUCUGUGCUGACAGUGCAGAGCCUGCUUGGGAUUCUCUCUCUCUCUCUCUCUCUCUCUGUUUGUCUGUCUGUCUCUCUGUCCCUCCCCCCUCUAUCUCUAUCUCAAAAUAAGUAAAUAAACUUAAAAAAAUGCAGAUUUAGGUUCAAUAUAUACUAGAUGGGCCAAAGGUUCUUCAUUUCUAACAAGUUCCUAGGUGAUGCUAAUGCUGCUGGCCCAUGGAAAGCUUAGCUAGCAAGGCUCUAUGUGAAAUGCCUCCCCCAAAUCCUUUCCAGCAAGUGUGCAGCCUGAGAAAGGUACUUGUGGGAUAAAGCUUAUGGAUUCUGAGAAUGAGAAAUAUAUCCACUGUCCAAGGGAUGCUUCCAGGUCUAGAGGAAAGAAUGCCAGACUGAAAGUUGGAAAAUAGGUAUUAGCCUUACACUCCUGGCUUUGCUACUGAGUAGCUGUAUGAUCUUGGAUACAUGUUUUAACCUCUUUAAUGCCUCAGGUUCUUUACCUGUAUAAUAAAGGUAUAACUUAACUUUCCCUAUCACUCAGAAUCAGUGAGAUGCACUGAGGUUAUAUAUCUUUAAAAUGUAAAGAUAAAAUGUAAUGUAAUGUAAUGCUUUACAUUAGUAAAGGUAAAUUGGUCUAUUCCUCCAAGUUCUCUAGAGAAUGAAAGACUGGUUAUUGGUCCAAACAGGAGAGCGCUGUGACGUAUCUGUCUGUGCCUCUUUGAGAGGUACUCUAGGACCCUGAGUGGUGCUCAAAACAUACUCAAACCUAAAGCUUUUGUUAAUAACUUCCAGUAAUUAAAUAUGCUUACCAUUUACUCAGCUUUUUAUGCAUGAAGGGUGUUGUCCUUGAGAAAGAUGUAUCAAGAUAAAUAAGGCAGGACUCUCACCUGGGGGAGUUUAAUUCCACUAUGAGAGCUAGACCAUAGACCCAGACAUGUGUAAUGGGGGUGGGGGACUUCAGUGAAGUACCAUGCUGGUCUGCUCUUUCCACUUCCCAAACCACUACCUCUUACAUUCAUACCCUCUGUUUCAAGGGGUCCAAUAUGUAUCUUGGGUGAUGAGAGAUAAUGUUGAAUAGUGGUUGAAACCAGAGGUCUGGAGCCAGGUUUGAUGUUCAGUUAAUCUAUUUGUGCCACAGAGAGGCUUAUCCAUACACUGGAGAGACUAUACUAGUAUCUGCCAUAGAGUGUUGUAGUAAGGGGUAAAUAAGUACGAAUGAUAUAUAUACGUGUAUACACACAUUUAUAUGUAUAUAUACACACAUGUAUAGCUUACACAGUAAGCUCUAUGGGUUAGCUACUAUCUUAUUGCUGAAUGGAAGGGGAGAACAGAGAAGGCAGUAGGGGCGGGGCUCAGCCGGGGUGGGGUCCAGGUGAGUGUGCUUCCUCCCCCUCUGGUGGAGAAUCCACAGGCAGAGUACAGGCAGCUAAGGGUGGAAAGCCCUGCCCCAGCACCAUCAGAUGGACAGUAAUGGGGCUUCCUGCUUGGAUAAUGUGGAGCCUUGAAUAGCGGUGAAUAGCGGUGAGUGACCCCCACUCUCUGGGUUAAUUUCCCUGCUACUCACUGGAGCUAGCCACACAGGUCCUGACUCCUGAGCAGCCCUUCCUCUUGCCCUGGCCCUCCAGGUCAGAAUGUCCUGCCUCCCUUGCAGAUUUUUCCCAAGGUCACACCUCAUUCUAUUCCCUCUUGUUGCCCCUCUACUACACUCCCUGAGGGCAGAAUGGGGUGGGGGUAGUGUGGUCUCCUCCUUUCUCUAUUUUCCUGUGCAAUGCUGUUGUUGUGCACACAGCACAUCCUGUUUGUCUCAGUUCUUCUGCUGUUCUAGCAGUAACAUAUGUAAGUCUUCAUUCCCUCUAUAGGUCAGCUCUGGGUGUCCAGGCGACGUGGAGGCCUCAUGAACAGAUGAAGGAAAAAGAGAAACAAAAAGUCCUAUUCAGUGUAUGAAGCCUCUACAUGGAUUGCAGGAAAAGUGUGAACACAGGAAAAGGAGAGCAGAAGAGUGCACACAUCUGUCUCUUGUCACUGCCAUACAAGAUGCUAUAGGGACAGGCAGGAGAGAUUCAGUCUGCAAAGCCCAGGUGUCCACUGGUGUGUGGCCAGGGAAGGACUAACCCUCAUGACAUCUGACAGUGGGGAGAAUGUUCACCAAGGGAAGGCUUAGGUGUUGGGGAAAGAAUGCCAGCUUCCUAAUUGUAACCUCUUCUAUGAAGCCUUGCUAGCUCUAGCCUGGAGAAAUUCAUUCAUUCAUUCAUUCAUUCACUUACUCAUUUAUUUAUUCAGCAAGGAUUUUUGGUAAGCCUUGCUUUUUCACUAUUUCAGGCCAUGUAAAGCUAUUAUAAUGGCAUAUACAUUUCUCAUUAUUGUCUGCCUAAUGAGCCUACCUCCCCUUCCUGUAACAGUGUGGAUCAAAGUAAACGUGGCUUUCCAUCAGAAUUUCAGUUCAGCAAAAGGAGAAGAAUGCACUAUAGAAUUUUAGCUCUGUCCCUUACUGGCUAUGUGAUCUUGAGCAAAUUACUUAACCUUUCUGAACUUAGUUUUUUAAUCAACAAAAUAAGAUAGACAGUACCUGUAUUAGUCAGCGUGGGCUGUCAGACAAUACCAUACAUUGGGUGGCUUAAACUACAGAUAUUUAUUUUCUCACAGCUCUUGAGGAUGGAAGUCCCAGAUCAAGGUCAGGCAGAGUUGGUUCCUGGUAAGGGCUCUCUUCUUGGCUUUCAGAGGGCUACCUUCUCUUUGUUCUCUCAUGGUGGAGAGAAAGAGACAGAGAGAGACAUAGAGAGACAGAGAGAGAUAGACAGAGAACUUUCUCUUCUUAUAAGGCCAGAGUCCUAUUGGAUUAGGGCCCUACAUUUAUGAUUUCCUUUAACCUUAACUAGUUCUUAAAGACCGUAUCUCCAGAUACAGUCAUGUACGGGUUAGGGGCUUUUGGGUAAGGGACACAAUUCAGUCUACAACAAAUGGCAUGUGGCCACUUUCCACAAGCACCUUCCUCAGUGGAGAGGCAGGUCCACAGGGAGUGCCCCAGUCUGGCCGUCCCCACUAAGGAGCAGGGUCUGAGCUGAGUGACGCUCCUGCUGGUAGUACGUUUCUUUUAGGGAGCCUCACUGUCCUUCCAGGCAGGGUCGUGGGUGCACUUCUCUUCUGGUCACAAGGUUUCCAGGCCCUGGGGUAAAUGCACAGAUGCACAUACCCACCAAGGAAGGGCUUGGACUGACUUCUACCUCCAACUGCAGAGCUUUUCACCAGGACAAAGGCAUCUGGUUAGACAAUUCUUCCAGAAAGAAUGAGCACUUAAAGCACUUGCUUUAACCUAAAUAAGUCAGAAAUACCUCUCAAAUGCCAUUUCUGAGAGCAGCAAUCUGCUCCAAAGGUGGUAUUUCCGACUCUAGAAAAAAGGAGGGCUAGGACUGGCGAAAAUGUUUUCUUCCCAGUGAUUGAGAUUUGUUUUAUUGGGUACAUCCCUAUAUUUAAAAGUGAAGUAAAUCUACCUUUUUUUUUUAAUGGGUUUAUUUUGCUUUCCUUGUUAUAUUCAGUGCUCUUUGUUAGAAGUCACUCUAGAGAAUGUGAGCAAUGAAAGACAAGCCCUUGCAGCUAGUCUUCCUGCUUUUGAAAAGUUUCUAAUCUAGUUUGAGAGACAAAGCAGAGGUAUGUGACAUGACUCAUGGAGUAUGGGACUUAAUAACAUUUCAGGGCAACAAUGAGCUGCCUACCCGCACCUAUUUCACAUAGUCAUGGUGAAAUUCAAAUGAGUAAGUGAAAUUCAAGGUGGUGGGAGCCCAACAAAUAUUGGUUGAAGAGAUGAAUACAUGCAUGCAUGCUUGCUGGCCAAUGUGGGGUGGGGUGCUGGGGACACAACAGUCAAGGGAGUGGGGCACCAGGGUGGUACCCUGGCCCUGGAGAAAGACUUGGAGAACAGCCACGCUGCAUGGCUGUCCUGGAGCUACACUUGUCAGUCACUCAGGGAUCUCAGCUCUUUCCAAGUCCUCCAGCACUUGAAUUAUCCAUCCAUUUACAAUGCUCACAGGCAACAGAGGAGUGGUUCAAUUUUUUUUUCCUUUCCACUUUUUGCCUUUCAAUUGAUAGAGCAGAUGGAAAUCUUGUUUCUCAAUUACCCAGUGUCCCCAUUUGAUCUGAGUACAUCUGGAAGGAGAUUAUUUGGAUACAUUUGCUUUUUAAAAAUGAGAGUCAAAACAGACAUGGAGUUGGGGGGAGACUUUUUAUCUUUGGUUUUUUUCCCCUGCCUGCCCCAUCAAUAUAGUUUCCCAAGAAAAACAAAGAAAUAAACUCUUACAACAUUAAGUCACAGCAGGGACUACUUCUGCUCCAUUCCUCUCAUCUCAAAAUAAACUUAAUUUAUAAGGACUGGGAGGGCUACAGUGAUAUUCUGCAAUGCAAAUAAAACACAGCAUGAACACACACACAGGAAGAAAGUUUUGCUCUGUAAAUAUACCCAGGAAGUUCAGAGAGGCAUAAAAAGUUGAGGCAGGCACUAGAAAUGAUUACUUUGGAAAUGAAUUGCAGUUUUCCAUUUUUAAGGGAACAUAUGUUGCUAUGGUUUUCUCUUCCAGGAUUGAUGAGAGGGUGGCCUUUAGCCAGUUUUUUUUUUUUUUUAACCCUGAUUGAUUUGGCUGGCUGUGUUGCAUUGGAAAUGCCCGUGACAACGCUGUUCUUUGGGUAUUUUCCUUCCCACUGGUUUCCUUUCCUACAGCCUGAGCAGUUCAGAGCAAUGUCACCACCAACUGCAAUUCAACCACUUACCAUUUAUUUCCUCUGGCAAUUAAAAAGUAUGCUAACCAAGCUAUGAUUUACCUACCAAUUGAACCAUAUCUCCCUCCCACAUGUCACUUCUCUGAAAUUCCACUUACAAGCCUAGAAACAAAGACUGAAUGAUAAAUCUUUUCCUGACCUUUCUGUGAAGUCAGUGGAUGAUAUUUGGACAAGGCAGGGAUCUAGGAUCAGCUUUCAACCAAAUAGUGAGGGUGGGAAAUCGUCCUGGGCACUGCCUUCCUCCUUUCUCUGUUGCUGGUCAUGCUAUGGCUCUCUGCAGACUCCCCAUCUUCCAGGAUCCUUGUUCCUCCAGUCAGGAGGAAGGCAGUCUGAUGACUGGGUUUAGGCCCAGGUGUUAGAGAGACAGUGGACUGUCAAUCUUAAGAAUAUUUAAAUUUAUUAAUUUAAAUAAUAAAUUAAUGCCUGUAAAUUAAUGCCUGUAAAGGGUGUGGCUUAACUGAAAUGCAUGUUAAUGGUGGGAUUUCAGAGUAAAUCUUGGAUUGGAGAAAGUAUUUGGGGUGAUGAAACAUUUCUUGACUUAAAAAACAGACAUUACCUACUUAAUUUUCUAUCAUCUGUGUAUGUAUGUGUGUGUGUAUCUAUCUCUGAUCCUGAGAGCUUAUUACUUACAACAACUAGUUGACUAUGCUCAGACAUUUAUGAGCAUGGCUCUCUCUUCAGGCAGGUCGGGAUGCUCCCAAGAUGUUCUCCAUACAAUGGCCAUGGGGUUCUGGCCUCUUUUCCCUAUGGGUAAGGAAUAGUCAGGUCAUGGGCAAAGUUUGGAAAGAGAGACAUUAAUCUUUUGCAUCCACUUUCUCUUUCCAACUUUUCUCUUCCUUAGGUGCUAUUUGGGGAUACUAUGAGGACUUUUCCCCUUAUAUUUGAGGCAAAUUUAAGGUUACUGAAGGAAACUAACCAUUAGAUUAUCAAAAGUUUUAAAUGAAAGUUGAAUCCCAAAAGUAAAUGGGGAGAAGCUUGCUAUUGCACAGAAUUGACAAAAGAGAGACUGAACGAUUCAAUUUAAUUUUUAAGAAUCCUUCGAGUUAAUUUUAAGAGCAUUAAAAACAUUUUGAUGAAGCUUGGUAUUUAAUGCACACUAUUGCCCCAGUGGUUGUAGAGUGGUCUCUCAGGUGGCACGAUGAAGGGGGCCAGUCUGGGGAGUAAGAGCUUUGUUUCUCCAGGGGUAUCCUUGCUAGCAAGUGUCAUUAGAUGAUUUACCAGGGUUGUCUAUUUGACAAGGAGAUUGGACUGGUCACUAUCUUUGUUUUCUGUCUCUUUGGGAUGAACGAAAGUGCCAUUCUUUCAUCCCAACAUGCCAUGCAAUAUAUGCCUGGGACCGUUCCAAGUGCUUUACCCAUAUUAACUCAUUCAGGCAUCCUAACAACUCAGUGAUGUAGGUAGUAUUAUUAUCCCGAUUGUAUGAAGGACCUGAGGCACAGAGAGAGGUUAAGUGUCUGGCCCAGAGUCACACAUUUUGUUAAGUAGGCAUUUGUGCCCAGGCAGCAGUUGGACUUCUGAGUCCACCACCCAGCCUCUCAUUUUGCCCCUUCGGCCCUGAUUUAUGCUUCUCAUCUAUCUCUUAUCCCACCGUGUCCUCUAUUAUGGCUCGAUCAACAUAUGCCUCUUCCCCUGCCACAAUUCCCUGGGAUUAGGAAUUGUGUUUUAUAUUUGUGUUUGUGUUCCUUAUAAUGUGAUCCGGGCACAUAGUGGGUAAACAUUAUAUGUUUGUUAACUUUAUAACAAAACCUUUAGAGUAAUUCCAUGGAAAAAGAGCAUGCUGCUGUAGGCCCUGAGAUCUCUUGCUCCAAUUGUCCUCAGUCCCAGGGAACAGACAGUGACCCGGCCUUGGGCCUUCCCCACUAGACUGUAGUGGGUAGUGUGUAGCAUGUGGAGAGAGACCCCUACAUGGGCUGUGGACUCAUGUGGGCUUCUUGGGUUUUGUUUCCUUUGUCCUGGAUAAUCUUAAAGUUGCCAUAAUGCCUUGGAUGCAGAUGAAAUCAGAGAAUCUGAGUGCCAAAAGUAAGCCCUGGAAAGUACUGCCAAGUAAAUGUCUAUCUGACCUACAAGACAUGUAUUUGUUUUCUUCUGGAAAUACUUCUCAGUCAGUCAUCACUGAUAUCUCCUUUUCAUUCCUUCUUCUUGUGAAAGAAGCUCUCAGAUACAAUUCAAUAUAAUGUAGAAGAGUCAAAUUAAAAAUAACAGUAGAACUCACACUUUGAAAGGAACAGCAAGAAUAGAUGUUCCCAGGCGCCUAAGAUGUGCUAAUUUAACAGUUUUUCAUUGAUCUUGGCUCCAAAAAAGUGAAAUAAAGUUACAUAAUUUUCCUUGUCAGAUACAAGAAAUCCUAUAAAAUUUUGAUAGAUGAUAACUGCUCCUUGGGACUAAACUCAAAGUGGAGCUUAUCCUCAAGGUCCUUGAAAUGGGGCAUUUAGUCAUGAGUGAGCACUGUCUUUAACCAUGAAUGACAUCGCUUUAGUGGAUUCCUCUCAUAUAAGGCCUUGUGGCAUAUCCCAGGUAUAUCUUACCCAAGACAUUUCUGUGGGUGUUGGGAAAUCUAUAUUGUGGUAGCAGAGCAUUUGAGGGUAUACAAAGCAUGUGCACAAACAUGAAUGAUCACCCUGGCUCAUUACUGGAACCUUCUGGAGGUUAGCAGCACAAGUAUUAUUGUUCUUACAUCUCAUGGGAAGUAAAUGGUAGGCCUGGGACUUGGAUCCAGGGCUCCUACCCUGAACUCUUUGCACUGUGCUAUGCAAGGUCCAAGUCCUUGCUUCCUAAUGAUAUAGUAAGGAAGGAGCCUAGAGACUUUAAGGAAAUCAUAUAGUUAACUUCAUAUGGUUCAUUAAAGUGGCUGUCUUCAUAUCCUUUCCAUUGAGAGUCAGAUUACCUCGUAAAUGACUACAGCACUAAUUCUCAGUAUUUUGGGGGUUUUGCAAUGUUGGUUAAAGUGAUUGGGGAGACAGAGUCACCAUUCUAUUGAGAGCAUGAUAAUUUUUAGAUCUAUCUCUCUGACAAAAUCACCCUAAGUGGCAAGUGGAUCUUUUUUUUUUACAUUUUUUUUAACGUUUAUUUAUUUUUGAGACAGGGAGAGACACAGCAUUAACAGGGGAGGGUCAGAGAGAGGGAGACACAGAAUCUGAAGCAGGCUCCAGGUUCUGAGCUGUCAGCACAGAGCCUGACGCGGGGCUAGAACUCACGGACUGCGAGAUCAUGACCUGAGCCGAAGUUGGCCGCUUAACUGACUGAGCCAUCCAGGCGCUCCGGGUCUUAUUUCCUAUUAUCUUUAAAAGGGUAAGGGUGGCUAUCUUCCUGUGGGCUGGGAAAGGUCUGAGGCUGCAUGUGAACUUGGCAGAUAGGAUUGGUAUUGGGUGAUGGUGGGGGAGGGGGAAACAGUGUUGGCACAUGAACACGUGUUAUUCAAACCCAAGACAGUCAGUUUUUACUUAAAAGAAAAAAAAAAGAGAUGCAGAUGUCACAAAUAUUGGCAAAAUAAUCUUGUUUAAUCUCAAAGGUAUGUAUCAUUUAUUAGGAAAAAAUUUAGGACAGGUGUUACCAGCCAAAGUCUUCAUUCAUCAAAAGAUCUUAGUAUAAUCCUGACGAAAUUUCUGACUUCAAAUUUAGCUGUAUCAUUGGAAUAGGCCCACCAGGAUGAAUUUUCUGUACAAGUAUAACCUUAAGUAGAUUGAUGAUAUUACCUUAUGGGCAGUCUUGUUUAUUGGACAUGUGGAGAAAAUGUGCCAGACACAACAGUCUCAGCUCUUGUGCAAUGAGAAACUGAGCUACUCUUUUUGGGCAAUAACUUGCCAAUGUGUUCAAGUGCUUCUUAUAUUGUAAGCUAAUGUUUUGGGCCUUCUCAAUGUAUCAAACACUGUCCUAAGCACUUUGUGAGUUUUAAGAUAUUUAAUCUUCCUAAUAUCAUUUUUCAGAUAGACCCUACUGUUAUCCCUAUUUUGUAGGUGAAGAUAAUGAGUCAUGGUGACGUUAAUUACCUUGCCCAGGGUCACCCAGUUGGUUCUCCUUCUCCAGAGUUUGGCAAAAUCAGACAUGAGCCUAUAGAGACAUGUUGAAUGGCAAGCACAAGGGCCAGAGGAGGAUCUGGAUUGCCCUCUGCAGGCAGAUGGCCUCUCAGGAACCUAGAAGUGCGUACUUGUGGCUAAUGCAAGAAGGCACCCAUCAUCUCCCUACCAGCAUCGCCAACAUCACCACCAUCAGCAUCACCUUCACCACCAUCACCAUCAUAAGCAUAAGCAUCAUCAUCACCACCACCACCACCACCACCGCCACCAGCAUCUCCACCACUGUCACCAUCGUCAUCAUCACCGAAAUCACCAUGAUCAUUACCAUUAUCACCAUCAUCUUUAUCUCAUCAUCAUCACCACCACCACUACCACCAUCAUCAUCAUCAUUGACAUCACCACCACAAUCACCAGCAUCAGCAUUAUUUUUACCAUUAUCACUAGCAUCAUCAUUGCUAUCACCACCACCAGCAUCACCUUCACCAUCACCAUCAUCAUCAUCAACAUCACAGCAUCAUCACCAUUAUCACCAUCAUCUUUAUCACCAGCAGCAGCAGCAGCAUCACUACCAGCAUCAUCUCCACCACUUCAUCAUCAACAUCACCAGCAUUAUCUUCACCAUUAUCACUAUCAUCUUGAUCACUACCACCACCAUUAUCAUCAUUACCAUCAGCACCACUAUCAUCUUUCUCUUCCUCUCCUCCUCUUCCCACUGCUCCUCCUCCCCUUUUUCUACCCUCCUCCCCUUCCUUCUUCUCCUUCAUUAUUUUCAUCAUCAUUCUCAUUCUCAUUUCAACAUGCAGUGUUUAGAGAUAUGGGAGCUAUAUGGAUACUGAGGUACAUGAGAGCAGAAGAGAUGAUGUUAAAAAUUGGUGGAAUACAUUUAGGGCUUUUUCCUGAAUUAUUUUAAUCUCUAGGGCUUAUUUAACUCCCUGAUGUGGAAACAUGACCUGUGAGACAAUCUUGAUGUAACAGCUUUUCUUUCAGUCUGAUAAAUUACAUUUUUUUUCCAAAAUAGCAUUAAUAAAGACAAGCCAGAGAUAGUAUUUUUUACUCAUCUGCAUUUAUAUUUGUCAAACUCACACACCUGCUUAAUGUGUAAAGGUCAGGCUUUUAGACAGAAAUCUCACAUGGAUCUCCCUGAAUUAUGUAGAAGUUUACCUGGCUGGAUAAUUUGCAUGACUUUUUACAGAAACUGUAGAGAACACGUUCCAAAUCAUAAUAUACACAUUGGUGUUUAUAUUUUCUCCUUUGAAGAGGGCAAUAACCCUGAGAAAGAUGUCAGUACUGAUACCACGGAGCAGACCCUGAGUAAGAGCACCUGGUGUCUCCAGUGAUUGAAAUGAUAUAUUAAUGAGUUCUUAUUCUCAGUGACAUUUUACCAGGAACCAAUUAACCACAGUAAUUACAUCUCAUCCAUUGCGUGCUCUGAAAUGUGAAGUGCAUGGGUAUUGGGUUGCUGUGUUUGUUGAGCAUUUUUUCCCCAUGUGACAAACCUUUAAGCAUUAAAACUUUGAGUCAUUUAUUAUGUUUCUUUUGCCUUCUGGGUGUCACAGCAUGAAGGAAAAUCUUGUAAAGGAUAGUUUUAUAACCACACAGAUACUGGUCCGUGUAAAUGAGUAUAGCCAAUGCUAGAAAGCCUCACCAUAGCUGUGCUUCAAAGGGUGGCAGAAAAUACAGUGGGGAGAGGGCACAUUGAUAAGAACAGAAAGAGUUAAACCUUCAUGCUAAAAACAGAUGGCUUAGGGAAUGAGAGAUUGAAUAAGGGGUCCUGAUUAGUUGACUCUUCUAGAUAAUGGGGUGAGUGCUGAUAAAUGGAAAACUUUUUUCAUUGUCAUUUCAAAACUGUUUAGAAAAAUUCAAAAAUAUCGCAGUUUGAAUUUCUAAAGUAAAUAACUUUUCUAUACUUCACUUCCCUCACUAUAAAAUUUGGAUAAUAAGUGUACUUGACUAAUAAGUUUGUUGUGAAGACAAGUAAGUUAACAUAGGUACAAGCACUUAGCAUGUAAUGAGUGUAUUGUAAAUGCUCAAUAAAUGCCAGUUAUUAUUUUAUUAAGUCUAUUAAAUAUAAUUUGACAGUCUAAAACUUGGAACUUUUAGAAAAUAGAACUAUUGUGUUUAUAAAAUAUAACAUAUAAUUGGGUAAAAAUUAAAAUAGUAUGUAAAAAUGAAAAAGCACAAGAAACUACAAUGAGCUCAAAUCUCACAAGUUCAAAGAUUCAUAUUUAACCACUGUUAAAAUAUUUUGGGAAAUCCUUAAUCUCUCUAUAAAUAAAUAUGAAUAUAUGUCCAGGUAAAUACACCUAACUUUAUGCUAUUGAAUCAUAACAUGUUUGUCUGUGAGUGACCUCUAUCACUUACACAGUAAGUCCCACAUGUUUUUAACAAAUCGAUAUGACUUCCAUCAUCCUUUUUAAUGGCUGUGUAAUAUAUUAUGGAGCAUACAAAUCAUAAAUCAUUUGACUAGCCCUGUUCUCCCCAGUGAUGAACAUUUGGAUUGUUUUCUUUCUUUUUUUUUUUAAAUUAUAUAAUUUCUUGUAUAUGCCUCAUUUACAUUUACUUCUUUAUUGUAAAUUCAGAGGUUUAAGAUUGUUGGGUGAAUAUUUUGAAUAUUUUUGUACUGCUCUUCUAAAAUGGUAAGGCUAAUUUAUAUUCAACAUGGGUAAGCCUUUUUAGGCAGAGGUAAGAGGUUGAUGUCAGGGAAGAAGGGUGUUUUAAAUAGAAGUGUGACAGUGUGAGCAAAAGCAGAGAGAUUGGAAAAUAUAUGCUGUAUUUGGGGUGACUUCCCACUUUUCUUGAGCUUGUUAUUUUUCACUUCACAUUUUGUGGAACUCCAUAUCUUAUAUUAACUGUUAUAGGUGAUCCAUUUUUCUAAAAGGUAUAGUGUGGGUGAACCCUGAUCUCUUCAAUUUUUUAAUCACUAUUGGUUACUUUUUUAACACUAGGGUUUACUACGAGGAACAAUUAUAACAAAAAGUUUUUAAGUUCUGGCGGUUUUAUUUAUUUCUGUGGGAUAGAUUUCUAGGAUUGAGUUGGCUGAAUUGAAGAGUACAUAUAUUUAAAUUUUUAAUCUAUAUUUUAAUCAGCAUUUCCAGAUUGGUUCCUCAAGGGGCUGUAACAUUUCACACUUCCACCUGAAAGUAGAAUUUUUCCACAUCUCAACCUGUAAUAGGUAUGUUCCGUCCAAAUUUAUGCCAGUUUAACAGGCAUAGCAUAAGUUUGACUUACAUUUCUUUGGUUACUGGUGAAUUGAAGAACCGUGCACAUGUUUUCAGCUCAUUUGGGCUUGCUAAUCUGUGAACUAGACAAAAGACCUCAUUUCUUUUGCCCACUACUACAUUAAAAUUAAAAAAAAAUGUCUAUUGAAAAUAAUGCAUGCACAUCGCAAAAAAUAAAGUAAGACAGAAGCAUUUAGAAUGAAGGCAACAGCCACUUGUCCUAACCUUCCUUACUCUUAUUCCUAAUCCCCAAAGUCAGGCCACAGAAUCCACAUUAGUUUAUUUAAGCAGAAAGUGAUAUAUGUCAGGGUAAUAUGUGGUUUACAGAACUUCUGCGUUCUUCAGAGAAGAUGUGACAGGGCCAGGAGUGAAUGUUUUAUCCAGGAGAAACCCCCAAGCCCAAAAUGAGAAUUUUGGGAAAAAAUGCCUCUGCUUGGUAGCCUGCUACUCAGCACCUGGGAUGUUACGAAAGAGAGAAGAGAGUUUAUAGCCAGCUGCCUCAGAAAAUACCAUGUUACCUCCUAAGGCAGCUGGCUACUGACAACGGGGGAAGGGGAGUUUCUGACCUUUGUCUCUGUAGCAUACAGACUCACAGAAAGGGGGUUGGCAUGGGUAUUGGGUGAGCUAGCUGUGGUGUCUGCUGCAGCUAUAUUCUAGUCUACCCCUUCCUCGUCUCUUUAUUCUGUGACAGUAACUCCCAGGUACAUUAAAAUAAAAAUGCAACUUGCCAGAUGCCUUUCCUGAGCAAACUUCCUGAAACCUGUCAGAAAAUGUAUUGAUUUUUUUCCCCUCGUCACCUUAGAUAGUUUGUCUGAAGAUCUGAAUUUUAGAUUCAAUAUUAUAAUUUUCUACAGAGCUUUGAAAUCAUGACUCAUUGUCUUCUAAAUAAUGUUACUAUUGAAAACUGAUUUGCGUUCCCUGGUAGGUGAGGCAUUUUGUUUGUUUGGUUGGUUGGUUAAACAAACAAAAAAAAAAUUUAUGUCUGUGGAGACUUCUGAGUCUUUUCACUCAUUGAGGCCAUCUAUAGUUUUGUGAGGAUGUGUGGUCAGCACUCAUCUGCCUCUCUCAAAAGAAGAAUCAUCUGUCUCUUCAGUUCAGGAAAAUUUUUUUAUCUUGUUGGUUAUUUAUGCUCCUUAAUAUUUUUCCUGUGGUGUUUUUUUGUUUCUGCUUUUGUUUUUGGUUGUUGUUAUUGUUGUUAUUUGUUUUUUCUUCUCCUUCAGAAACUGUUGUUAGAUGGAUGUUGGUUGGGCCUUCUGUGUUUAUCUUCCAUUUCAUUUGUAUUUUCUACCCUUGUCUCUGCCUUAGGAUCUGAAGUUGUUUUCAGCUUUAUCUAGGCUACCUGUUGUAUUUUUGUUCUAAAAAUCACGAUCUUCUUUUCUAAGAAUAUUUAUAGAAUUGCUCCCUUUUCACGGCAGACUAUUCUUGUUUAAUGAAUGUAAAACUUUUAACGUCUUUGUGAGGAUACUAACUAAAAACUUUAAAUCUCUGCCCCCGCCCCCAUCUCUCUUUCCUCUGGGAUUAGUUGUUUUGUGUGUUCUUCUUGAUCUUUCUCUUUUGUGUGGGAAUUAGACCUUCCCUGGCAGACUGUUCAAAUUUUUUUGGAGAGUGUUUAUCCAGCUUUAUUCCAAGGGCAAGCAUUUAAGUGUUACCAAUUGUUCUGACCACCGUAUGUGGCACCAACUUGUAUAGCUGCUUGGAACUAUCUUGUAUCUAAAGCCUUAUUUUUUGUCCUGCUUCUUACUCCACUCUGUAUCACCUUACCAUAUGUGCUAGUCAGAAUAAUGGCCCUCAAAGACGUCCACAUUCUAAUCCCUGGAACUUCUGAAUACAUUGCCUUACCUAGCAAUAGGGACUUUGCAAUAUGAUUAAGUUAGGGAUCUUGAGAUGGGGAGAGUAUCCUAGAUUAUCCAGGUGGCCCAAAUAAUCACAAAGGUUAUUGUGAGAGGUAGGCUGUAAGGACAGAGCCAGAGAUGGAGACAUGACAGCGGGAGCAUUGGCAGGGUGCUUGGCCCUGGACCAGGGAGCGUGGGCAGCCCCUAGAAAGUAGUGAAGACAUGGAAACACAUUUCCCCUAGAACCUCCAGAAAGAACACAGCCUUUGGUUGGUCUGUAAGACCCAUUUCAGACUCCUGAACUGCCAAAGAACCAAGAUAAUUGGUGUUGUUUUAAACCACUUAGUUUGUGGUAAAUUUGCAUACUCCAAGUCAUGGAAGAAGUGCACAUCUGAGGGGAAGCUCACCUCCCAUUCCACGGACUUUUCUCAGCAUAUUCUGGGCUGUGGCCUCAUCCAUCUAUUUACAGACCAGAACUAUCCCAUCCCCUUUUUAAUUUCUGGAAGGCUGUAAAGCAUUUCUGAUUGGGCAGUGGUCCACCCCUCCCUAUUCCUAGUGCUGUCAGGAGAUGGUUUUCUUUUCUGUUUCUUUCUGGUCAUAGAGUGGGUUUGAGAAGGGAGAGAAAGCAUCAGAGUGCUCUUGGAGUCAGUGACACCCUGAUGAACACAUGGGUUUACAGAAUGCUUCCAAAGCCUCAUUAUUUUAAAGUCACAGCUGUCAAAGAUGACCCAUCAGAAGGAAUUCUUCUGGCUCUUCCUCCAGCUCCCUGAAACCUCACUUUAGUUCAAUACAGGCAUUUGUGAGACAGCUGGUAGAGAUUAGCAGUGCAAGCUCUGUAAAUUAUGCAGAGUGUUUCUUCACAGAAAGAUAACUGGAGUGAAGCACCAACCGGGCCACUAAGCCCCAGGCUCCAAGCCACAGAGCCAGCCUCUCAGCCAUCUGAUGCAAAUUCCAGCCAGGUACCGCUUUGCUCGGGGCCCCAGUCCGGCCCUGCAAUGAGGAGAAACACUGCUUUCCUCCAGGAAACUUUGGGAAAGUACCAGAAAGCUGGGCAGGCCUGUGUGGAAGCCUGUAUUCUGGAGUGGUGACUGCUGUCUCUUGGUCUCCUCCUGCAGGCAGUGACCUUAUUGCCUUGUUAAGGCUCAUUACUUGACUACCGAGUUCGGUUCUCACAUUUCUUCAAGUUCUGCAACUUCCUUGCGCUUCAUGGAGAGAAGUCAUGUAUCUAGUGGGUUGGCAGCCUUGGCAUUCAAAGGGGAGAAGCUUCGAUGUUCCCUCCAGCAUGGGCACAGUCCACAAAACACAGCCGUUUCUUCACCAGUUAUGGCUGAGACUUGGAAGGUAAAAUGUCACUUUUAUUGUUUGACUAUUUCUAUCAUUUGAGGAAUAGUAGAAAGUGUCGAGGUUGUAGAAGACAGACAGGCCUGAGUUUAAUAUUCAGCUCUGCUAUCUCCUAACCAUGUGAUUGUGGGUACAUUUCUUAAGCCUCCAUAAAUGUCAGAUUUUCCCCUUUCAGCUGAAAAGGUGGAUAAUGUUUAUAACAUAGUCCUUUUGUGAAGAUUAAAUGAAAUAAUGAACAUAAAGCUGUUAGCACAUAAAUAUUCAGCCCUUGUCUGCCUCUACUGUAAGGGCUCACAAUGUCUUUGAAGAUGUUAGCAAGAGCUAAUGAUUCUCACAUACUUUUUAUGGCAUUUUUUUUUCUGAUUAUGAACACUAUAAACGUAAGCUUAUGCAGAGACUUUGAAAAAAAAACCCAGAAAAUAUUAUAAACAGAACUCUUACUAUCAAUCUCACCCUCUAGAGAUAAUUGCUAUUUAGCAUUUUGGUAUUUUUCCCAUUGUUUUUACAAACAAUGAUGGUGUGGAUGUUCAUUUUGCAUGGAAAGCUGUAACCUGCUUUUGUCACUUAACAUUACACGGAUACUUAUCUUCUCGACAAAGGGAUUUCCUCUAUCAGCAGCUGUGGGUGUCUAGUCUUGGUGGGAUUUGGUAUGAGGAAGAUUAGACAGGAGGCAUGUUGGCCCUUUAAAAGGAAACAUUUUAAGGGAGUGAAGUGUAGUGCUUUGGUUUAGCAAUCCUAUAAUGUAAUUAUGCUUGUGUUUCAAGAUGGCAUGUUUGGGGUAUGAGAGGUUUAGAAUACA
RNA transcript from Panthera uncia (snow leopard), 17518 nucleotides. It is a transcript of the gene named dual specificity protein kinase pyk3, with no coding region annotated. Lineage: Eukaryota; Metazoa; Chordata; Mammalia; Carnivora; Felidae. The record is from RefSeq and is a predicted model, not a curated record. The transcript is spliced from 3 exons.